GUAUCUAGGCCAAUUGCCUAGGUGAAGUGAGUUUCCUCUCUUGCCAAAGUCCUGCCCACAGAGGGGGUUUUGAUAUGUCACUGAAAUCAGCAUUCAGGUGAUGUGACUCUUCUGCCAGGGUCCUGCGUACUAGGUGGAUUGUGACAUCUCACUGGACCCGCAACCAUGUAGGUCAUGUGACUUUCAUGCCUUCUCACUGGCCACAGGUGAUGUUGUGCCAUAUAACUGAGACCGUAUCAAAAGCCUAAUAACAAGACGUAUGUCUGGAGCCCCGAUAUGCACAGGAUGGUGAUAUAACCCUCUUCUCUGGAAUGGGCCCCACACAAAGGAAGGAUAGUGACAUAUUGCAAGCCCAGGCACACAGAUCCUGGCCUGCUCUUGCACACAUAUCUCAAGCCCCACACCCCGGGUUCCUGGAUCAUCAAUUUGUCUAAGCCUCCAGAGCCUCCACCGGCUCAUGGCCUGAGAAUGGGAUCUGUCUGGCAAUCAAUCUUUUUCAGCAGUGCUGAAGAUCUAACCUCACAGAAAAGAGUCUAAGGCAAAAAACGAAAGCCAGCUUUUGCCAGGCAAAGCACCUUGUGCCUCUCCCAGGCAUCUAGCAUGCUCCUGCAUAGCCCAGGCUCAGCCUGGGGCCUCUCGCUCUCAUCAGGGCACGUGCAGACAAGGAGCCACCGUUCAACUUCACAGAGAGGCCACAUUCUUGCCCUGGUCUUGAAAGAAUCCCAGACUGUAAUGGAAAAGGAUCGACGUGGGAGAAAGAGGUUUGCUCACUUUCUGACUUGUUCUCUCGUGCUCACCUAAAUCUCUGUCUUUGGACAUCGCCCUCAGUGCUGUCAGGAGUCUGGAUGCACAAUUGGGGUCCUCUGCACCAAUUCUCCCCUGGGCAGACACCUGGAAAUAUCUGGGUUUGCUCAGGGCCUGCUCCUCCUACUGCAGCAAGUGUUCCUGCCAGGACCCUGUAAACAGAGAAGGCAUGCAUCCUCUGCAGGGACUCCUGGUGCCACAUGUCCCAUGAGUCAACAGAUGUAUAUGAUAUUUACUUGGAGCCAACACAAGAUUCUGUUCUCCCAACUCUUGGUCAUGAGCCCUAUGUCCUACAGGCUGCAUGCUCAGCUUUGUCUCUUAGUUUAACUGGGAAGUCCAUCAUUAUUGUCCACAGCAAUGCGUGUCUGGAGCACACAUUAUUGAAUUCCUGCAGACCUGGGUUCGAGUUCUCAUUCUGCAGUUUAUUAGCUAGACCACCCAAUAAAACCACUGUUACUCUAAA
Molecule: long non-coding RNA, 1267 nt
Organism: Homo sapiens (human)
Lineage: Eukaryota; Metazoa; Chordata; Mammalia; Primates; Hominidae
Product: long intergenic non-protein coding RNA 293
Source: Ensembl